Long non-coding RNA from Triticum aestivum (bread wheat), 486 nucleotides. RefSeq lists it as uncharacterized. The record is from RefSeq and is a predicted model, not a curated record. Lineage: Eukaryota; Viridiplantae; Streptophyta; Magnoliopsida; Poales; Poaceae. The transcript has 3 exons.
UCUAGACGCGGAAAGGAUGAAUCGCGAAGGUGGCGCUGAUGCUUGGGGUUCUCAAAGGCCAGAAACACCGCCUUGGGAUGCAGCAGAGUAUAGUCAACUCAUCUCUGCAGGGCCGUUGCUGCCACUACUAGAACAGUAUGCAGGCGUAGGUUCUUAUGACCAAAACACUCUCAGGGGGGCCCCAUGGCAAGUUCAGUCACAAGGCGCUAACACUGACAUAUUUACGGGCAACCAACCUCAACUAGCUAGUAUGGCUAAUCAAGGUAAUGCAAAACCAAAAAAACACAUACUGCUGUGGACGUGAAAAAUGGACAUGCAAAAAAACUGGCAAGAGGACUCACGAGUUAUCACGGGUGAAAAUGCAGGGCCUUCAUGCAGCACGUGGCAUCAGCCAGCACCCAUGUACCUGCCAUCGACGUCAUACACAGCGUAUUACGCUGGUGGUGACACGGCAAUCGUCCCGUGGCAAGCUUCACAAAUUGCAGG